RNAcentral lists this ribosomal RNA (433 nucleotides) under uncultured bacterium. Its description in RNAcentral is "partial 16S ribosomal RNA". It matches the Rfam family "Bacterial small subunit ribosomal RNA", at positions 29 to 507 of the family's 1533-position model. The record is from RNAcentral.
AACGAACGCUGGCGGCGUGCCUAACACAUGCAAGUCGAACGAGACGGUCGGGUUUUGGUGCGCACCGGGGGGUAAGGCCUGGGGAGUAGCCCUUGGGUUCCCUAUAACUCCCCGUGAGGGGUGCUAAUACCGCAGAAUGUCUUAGCACCAAAGAUCUUUGGCCUCAGGAUGGGGCCGGGUUAGCUUAGCGGGUUGGUAGGGUAAAAGCCUACCAACGCGACGUUGCAUGGCUGGUCUGGGAGCAUGCUCAUCCACACUGGGACUGCGACACGGCCCAGACUCCUACGGGAGGCAGCAGUGGGGAAUAUUGGACGAUGGGCGAAAGCCUGAUCCAGCCAUGCCGCGUGAGUGAGGAAGGGCGUAGGGUUGUAAAGCUCUUUUACCCGGGAUGAUAGUGACAGUACCGGGUGAAUAAGCUCCGGCUAACUCCGUG